RNAcentral lists this ribosomal RNA (433 nucleotides) under uncultured bacterium. Its description in RNAcentral is "partial 16S ribosomal RNA". It matches the Rfam family "Bacterial small subunit ribosomal RNA", at positions 29 to 507 of the family's 1533-position model. The record is from RNAcentral.
AACGAACGCUGGCGGCAUGCCUAACACAUGCAAGUCGAACGAGACCUUCGGGUCUAGUGGCGCACGGGUGCGUAACGCGUGGGAACCUGCCCUUAGGUUCGGAAUAACUCCUCGACAGGGGUGCUAAUACCGGAUAAUGUCCUCGGACCAAAGAUUUAUCGCCUUUGGAUGGGCCCGCGUUGGUUUAGCUAGUUGGUAGGGUAAAAGCCUACCAAGGCGACGAUCCAUAGCUGGUCUGAGAGGAUGAUCAGCCACACUGGGACUGAGACACGGCCCAGACUACUACGGGAGGCAGCAGUGGGGAAUAUUGGACAAUGGGCGAAAGCCUGAACCAGCAAUGCCGCGUGAGUGAUGAAGGCCUUAGGGUUGUAAAGCUCUUUUACCCGGGAUGAUAAUGACAGUACCGAGAGAAUAAGCUCCGGCUAACUCCGUG